AGUUGGCCAAAAAUUAUUUUAAAAUCUUUUCACUGGGAGUAGAGUGGAUGGAUUUUAUUUGGUCAUAGAUGGUAAUUUUAGUACAGUAAGCUCUGCUAUAAUGCAAUAUGUGCAUUCCUAAAAAUCACCUCACUGUGUAAAACCGUGCAUUAAAACCACAGGGCUUACCACUCCGAAACUUUGUCUGUGACACUUAAAAGGAUAGGAAUAUAAUAAAAACAACAGCACUCUUUUAUAUAAAUAUUACGUGAUUAAGAAAUACAUAAAUACUAUGAUAAACAUGGCACUUUACCUUGAGAAAGACCUGAAGUUUUCUUAUGGAAGUGAGCAUCAGGAGGGUUGCAGAAUGUGAAUUAUUGUGAAGUGAUGGAAGGGAGGGUCUGUGAAAUUGGAGGGAAAGUUGUAAUACUAGUUGUGGGUGGGUGUGGCUCAUAGCAUGGAAGAGAAACUGAGGUGGCUGGUAGAUGUUUGACGGGUGAGUGUGUUUUGUGUAUUCCUACAUAUUUUGGUUCAUCUGGGUACAAUUUUUUGUGUUCAUCUAGGAUUUUUUCACAGAUAAAAGUAUGCAUAAGAAUGAUUGCCAUGGUCAAACUUGUUUAAUGUAUCAAUUAUGUUAGAACAAAUUUGUGUUUUUAAAUAGUGUUAAUGCAGAAUUUACUUAAUUUUUUAUGUCAUCCACAGGCCCAUCAUUUUGGUUUUAUAUGUUUUAUAGGGAUUCUAUAUUGGGUUCUUUUUACUGAAGUUUUGAAAUGAUUGCCUAAUAUUUACCUGCUACAUAACGUUUUAAGUGUCUUGCUGAAUUCUAAGUUUUUCCAGGCUAAUGAAUAAGUAAUGUGGAUGUGGAAUCAGAUUUUUGCUUGAGUCUGGUGGUGACUCAAUAUAAUACACACAGAAAAGUAUCAGUUCUUCUGUUUCAAGCAAGCAUACUAUCUCUGGUGGCCUUCCUAUUUUUGAAGUUGCUGUUAGGAUACUUUAAUCCUUAACAUGAAUCAGUAUAAAAGAAAGCAUGUGGGUGGUUGUGUUUGGGUGUCCUUUCCAUCCACUUGGUGCUUUUAUUUUCUGUGGUUGUUUUAUUCCACAGCUUAGCAACAGCAGAUUUCCAGGAGAAGUCUUAGUUCUUCAUCUCUCUCUCCUUCCUCUGGUCUGGUUGGUUGGUAACAGUGAGAGUAAAUGAAAUGCUUUUUGUUUUUCUGUCUUCCCACCACAGUGUCUUUGGUUUACUUUUAGGACCCUCAUUUUCAAUCUCUGAGCCAGAAGACCUGCCUUUAAAUCACAGCAUUUCAAUUCCUCCCUCCUAUCUAGGCAUUCCUUUAUGUUUCUACAGUACUCUGCAUGCAUCCCUGUUAUAAAAUGUAUCACAUUGUUUUGGAAUUUUCCAAAGUUGAGCUCUCUUUCUAAAUAAACUGUACUUCUUGAGGCCAUGGACCAUAUUUUUAUCAUUUAUACAUUUCUGUUACGUAACACAAUGCUUGGCAAUGGUGGUUGGGUGACUGGAUGGAAGAAUGAAUGAAGUAGGCUUGAAGAGAGCUGUACUUAUGAUCCUAUUAUAUAUGAUUUCUCUUCAUUUUGUCCACGUUAAUGAUUUCUAGAUAUCUUGGUCACUUGAACUUUAGUAAUAUGAAUCAUGCUGUGUAUUCAAACUUUUUAGCAGAGAAAUAAUAAAAUUCCUUUUGUAAACCAAAG
RNAcentral lists this long non-coding RNA (1683 nucleotides) under Homo sapiens (human). RNAcentral describes it as "LHRI_LNC1480.1". The record is from RNAcentral. Lineage: Eukaryota; Metazoa; Chordata; Mammalia; Primates; Hominidae.